This 315-nucleotide ribosomal RNA is filed under the name Ruhbergia bifalcata. RNAcentral's name for it is "partial 12S ribosomal RNA". The record is from RNAcentral. Lineage: Eukaryota; Metazoa; Onychophora; Udeonychophora; Euonychophora; Peripatopsidae.
UUCUUAAGUAGUAAUUUAUUAAACUUAAAAUUUUGACGGUAUUUAAUCUUUUAGAGGAAUAUGUAAUUUAAUCGUCACUACACGUUAAUUUUACUUAUUUUAUUUUUGUAUAUCUCCGUUAAUAGAUAUUAUUAAAUAUUUUAAUAAAUAUCAUAAUAAGAAUGUUUAUUAUAUCAGGUCAAGGUGCAAAAUAUAUAAGGUAUUAUGUAUUACAUUCAUGAAUAAUGAGAUGGAUAAUUAUUGAAAUAUUUAUUUGAAAUUGAAUCUACAAGUAGAAUAAUAAUAAAGUUUUAUUUGAAAUAAUAUUAAAUAUGU